CCUGUGUCACACCUGUUAUUUUUUACUUAGGAUACAAUUUCGUCCAAAGCACCAGAUCGUUUCCUCCUUACUAUUCAUGAAUUUCCAUGGCAUGAGUUUUGUGUUGAUUAUUACAAUAGACGCAUUUUUUACAAAUAAAGCAGAUGCUGGUGUCAGCACAGGAUCGGACAAUAAAACUAUUAAGUUUUCAAACAUUGAUCAUUCACUUAGUUGUCAACUUGCUGAUUAUGAACAUAAUGAAGUCUAUUGGAUUAAGUUAUCAAAAGAAAUAAAUGGUAGUUAUUGUGAUAUUGUAGAUGUUCAUAAACAUGGCAAAGAGAAUCAAACAAAGUGGUUCCCCUGCACGGAUCUGAAAUCAAGAUCUAACAAUGUUGGAUCAGAUUUAGUCAUAGCUAAACUAGUUUUAAAUUUUAAUUCAACUAGGAUCCAGCUUAACGACAACGGAAGGUACAAAUGUGAAAUUAAUACCAUGAAAGGUGUUUAUAAAGAUACUUUGGAAAUCGAUUGGAGAGGUAUUUCAAGUUGGGGAAGUCACAACAAAAUAUAUAACGCAGGAAAUCACAACUCAUCUAUCAGACAUUCGAAAUCAAUUGUACUGUUCCUCACUGCCUUUUUGCUGGCGAAAAGGUAUUGGUAUUAGCAAGAUUAGAAAUAAAGACAUUUGCAACCAAGACAUAAAAGGCCAGGCAUACAAUUUCAAAGACAAUGCGAAAGGUUAGGGUAAAUUUGUUUAACUUUGUGUUUGCUAAGUGGGCAUAUGAUGACCGUUUAAAUGAAUUGCAUUGUAAACAACAGAUGUCUUUCAUUAGUUUAUCAUAUCUGGCAAUGCUAUUUAUUACGGCGUAACACUGUUGUACGAUUGCAUUUGUUUUUUAGCAUUUCAUUAUUUCUUUUCAGUCUAGUAUUUAAUAGUCUGUGUCUUUUUAAAUAUGAUAUACAUGUAGUAAAAUAAUCUCAGCCAUUGUCAGACUUGAAGAAAGACGUUUUAACUUGACUGAUAAAUAUAUAUUCUACCCUGCGUCGAGUGUGAUACGAUAUUUUUCUACUCGAGACAGUUACUUAUUAUUAGCUGUCGAGAUUGGAGAAAUAUCGUAUUGCACGAGAUUUUGUGGCAAAAUCUGUUUCGCUCAUGAUUUUUAGACGAUAUGCAGACAAUUUAAUCCUUUUUUUCAAUGAUGUGCGAAAAGAUUUGUUCUUUCUAUGUAACGUCAUCGGACAUGUUUGCAAUUUUUGAAGACGUCAUAAUACAAAAUUCAGAGGAGAGCAAACAAAAAAAAUGAGGUCAUUAUUGAAGUCUGACUAAUUAAGAACUGAGAUCAAACGAAUCAUGCCUUGAUUAAACACAAAUAAUCAAGAGGUCCCGAGAGGAGAGAUCGACGAAGAAUUAGAGAAAAAAAUAUUAUAUGUAUAUAAAAAUGCCAUUUAAGAUCUGUAUUCCCCAACUUAAAUCCUUGCAUCUAUGAUAAUUUUAUCUAUAAUUAUGUAUCAAGAAGUCUGUGAUAUUUUUUUUAUAUAUUGUAACGAUUUACAUUAUACAUUUUCUAUUUAGUCUGUUUUCGUGUUUUGUUUUUCUUCAUUAAAUUGUGUAAAUUCAUAGUGGAAUUACAAGAUUUGAACAUCGGUA
Molecule: long non-coding RNA, 1624 nt
Organism: Mytilus californianus (California mussel)
Lineage: Eukaryota; Metazoa; Mollusca; Bivalvia; Mytilida; Mytilidae
Exons: 3
Source: RefSeq, a predicted model, not a curated record